AAGGACGGUAUCUUCACAUCGGUUCCUGCUACAGCCCGUGUCCGUCUCGCAAGCUGCAGUGAUGAACUUCAAGUUGCUGCUGGUGCUUCUCGUCGCGAUGGUAGCAGUCGUCGCGGCCGGCCGCGGAUACGGCCGCGGCUUUAGAGGCGGCUAUGGCGGAUACCGCGGCUACAGUCGUGGCUAUGGCGGAUACCGCGGCUACAGCCGUGGAGGCUACGGUGGCUACAGGGGCAACUAUGGCAGCUACGGCUACGGUCGCUAUGGCUAACACGGAUAACUGUCCACGCUGCUGAAUCGUCUGUACCUGCCUCCGUCAGCGAUGUCCUGCAAUGCCACACAACGUCCCCGCUCUGGGCUGCAAUAAAUACCAUGUCCGAAAC
Molecule: long non-coding RNA, 380 nt
Organism: Pollicipes pollicipes
Lineage: Eukaryota; Metazoa; Arthropoda; Thecostraca; Pollicipedomorpha; Pollicipedidae
Exons: 2
Source: RefSeq, a predicted model, not a curated record